ACCUGGCUGGCUUAGUUGGUGGAGCAUGUGGCUCCUGAUCUCAGGGUUGUGAGUUCAAACCCCACAUUGGGUG
RNAcentral lists this transfer RNA (73 nucleotides) under Mustela putorius furo (domestic ferret). It matches the Rfam family "tRNA". From Rfam's summary of the family: Transfer RNA (tRNA) molecules are approximately 80 nucleotides in length. Their secondary structure includes four short double-helical elements and three loops (D, anti-codon, and T loops). Further hydrogen bonds mediate the characteristic L-shaped molecular structure. tRNAs have two regions of fundamental functional importance: the anti-codon, which is responsible for specific mRNA codon recognition, and the 3' end, to which the tRNAs corresponding amino acid is attached (by aminoacyl-tRNA synthetases). tRNAs cope with the degeneracy of the genetic code in two manners: having more than one tRNA (with a specific anti-codon) for a particular amino acid; and 'wobble' base-pairing, i.e. permitting non-standard base-pairing at the 3rd anti-codon position. The record is from Rfam by way of RNAcentral. Lineage: Eukaryota; Metazoa; Chordata; Mammalia; Carnivora; Mustelidae. RNAcentral also lists the same sequence under 1 other name.